Molecule: long non-coding RNA, 521 nt
Organism: Ylistrum balloti
Lineage: Eukaryota; Metazoa; Mollusca; Bivalvia; Pectinida; Pectinidae
Exons: 5
Source: RefSeq, a predicted model, not a curated record
CGCUGAUGUGUUAUGGGAUUUUUCCGUAUUGGAGCCUUCACGUUUAUGGUGGCGACGAUGUUUGUGUCUAUGUCGAUGUUGUUUUGAGAUGAGUGUAUGGCCCCUGAUCCUCUUUAUAAUCACAACUGUACAGGAAGGUCAAAGAGAUAAACCAAUAAUAACCUUCUUUAUGUGUAACAACGUUGGAAAACCCUGGGAUUGACUUCACUCACAGAUAAUGACUGUAAGGGUGGAUAUAUCCACUGAAUGUACUACUGGGUCUACCCACUCUGACGGUAGCAGUACGUCAACUUUGACUCAAUCGAUUGAAAAACGAAGUCCUUCCCAUCAAUUGAAAAUAGCAGAUCAGCAGGCUUCAUGUGGAAAAACAUAACACUGGAUCUCCUGGUUGUAGUGAAGCAGUCUUUACAGGAUUUGAACACAUUUCACCUGUGACCUUGGACGUGAGUCAAGACACUCUAAAUGCUAGUGGGAGGAGACUGGGAGGACUUGUUGGAACAAGAGAACCUUGGUUGAUGUGG